Molecule: ribosomal RNA, 469 nt
Filed under: uncultured bacterium
Lineage: Bacteria
Description: partial 16S ribosomal RNA
Rfam family: Bacterial small subunit ribosomal RNA
Source: RNAcentral
GACGAACGCUGGCGGCGUGCUUAACACAUGCAAGUCGAACGGAAAGGCCCUGCUUGCAGGGUGCUCGAGUGGCGAACGGGUGAGUAACACGUGGGUGAUCUGCCCCUUACUUUGGGAUAAGCCCGGGAAACUGGGUCUAAUACUGGAUAGGACCAUGCUGUAGGUGGUGUGGUGGAAAGAUUAGUUUCGGUAAGGGAUGAGCUCGCGGCCUAUCAGCUUGUUGGUGGGGUAAUGGCCUACCAAGGCGUCGACGGGUAGCCGGCCUGAGAGGGUGGACGGCCACAUUGGGACUGAGAUACGGCCCAGACUCCUACGGGAGGCAGCAGUGGGGAAUAUUGCACAAUGGGCGCAAGCCUGAUGCAGCGACGCCGCGUGGGGGAUGACGGCCUUCGGGUUGUAAACUCCUUUCAGCCAUGACGAAGCCCUUGUGGUGACGGUAGUGGCAGAAGAAGCACCGGCUAACUACGUG